GACGAACGCUGGCGGCGUGCUUAACACAUGCAAGUCGAACGGACAGGUCAUGCUUUUGUGGGGUGCUCGAGUGGCGAACGGGUGAGUAACACGUGAGUAACCCGCCCUUGACAUUGGGAUAACUUCCGGAAACUGGGGCUAAUACCGGAUAGGAGAUCCUGCUGCAUGGUGGGGGUUGGAAAGUUUCGGCGGUUGGGGCUGGACUGGCGGCUUCUCAGCUGGUUGGUGGGGUAGUGGAUGACCAAGGCUAUGACGGGUAGCCGACCUUAGAGGGUGACCGGCCACAUGGGUACUGCGAGACGGCCCAGACGCCUACGGUAGGCAGCAGUGGAGAAUAUUGCGCAGUGGGCGGAAGCCUGAGGCGGCAGCGCCGCGUUCGUGAUGACGGCCUUCGGGGUGUAAACCGCUUUCGCCUGUGACGAAGCGUUAGUGACGGUAAUGGGUAAAAAAGCACCGGCUAACUACGUG
RNAcentral lists this ribosomal RNA (468 nucleotides) under uncultured bacterium. RNAcentral's name for it is "partial 16S ribosomal RNA". It matches the Rfam family "Bacterial small subunit ribosomal RNA", at positions 28 to 507 of the family's 1533-position model. The record is from RNAcentral.